Long non-coding RNA from Marmota flaviventris (yellow-bellied marmot), 1388 nucleotides. RefSeq lists it as uncharacterized. NCBI's taxonomy places the organism in Eukaryota, Metazoa, Chordata, Mammalia, Rodentia, Sciuridae. The record is from RefSeq and is a predicted model, not a curated record.
AGGGUGACUGAUCUGGGAACAGAGCACAGAUUUGUUUUGUUUUACAGACAGGGUUUUGCUUUUUUUGCACAGCUUAUUGUCCAACUCCUGGGCUCCAGCGAUCCCCUUGCCUGAACCUCUGAGUAGCUGAGAGUACAGAUGGGUGCCACCCUGCCCAGGUAGAAGAUGGAAGCCACACUUGGAUGUCCAGGAAGCCGUGUGGUGAAGAGGGGCAGAGCCAGAACUCCUGGACCCCACCCAGUUCUCGCUUCCCACCUUCCAUAGCCCAGCUCUGAGAGGCUGCUUCAGUCUGGUUUCUGCACUGUGACCUCUAAUUGCCAUGUCUCCUCAGCCCCACCUGCUGCCUCAGUCAUCCAGCCAGAAGAGGCAAACGGGUGAUCAUUGGAAUUCAAAGAAGAUGAAUGGAUAUGCCAGAGUUUUCUGACUCGACCCAGAGUGUAGAACCCAGGAUUCAGCCUGUCUUCUGUCCAGAAAAGAAAAGAGGUGCCAUCUUCAGAUUCAGAAGUGGAGGUGGAAAUUGUCAGGGUUUUGACUUGACCUGGAAGGUAGGACUCCCAGCCUUCAUACUGUCCUCUGUCCAAAAGAGGAAAGAGGAGUCGUCAUCUGAUUCUGAGGAGGAGAUGGAAGUGGAGUUGUCAGUUUUGUGACUCCACUGAGGGGGUAGAUCCCAGUCUUCAGAACUAGUCCUCUAUCCUGAAGGAGAAAGGGAAGCAGUCAUCAGAUCCAGAGAAGCUGGAAGUGGAUCUGUCCAAGUUUUCUGACUCCAUACAGAGGGUAGAACUUGGGCUUCAACUUCAGUGCUCUGGCCAGAAGAAGAGGAAGUGGUCAUCAGAUUCUGAGGAGGAUCUAGAGGAUCUGGAUCUUGAGCCUAAGUACCUCUGGGUUGUGGAGACACUGUGGCCUGAAGACGAAGCUGAAGAGACAGCGUGUGUACUCAGUGCUACCAGAGCACCAUGAAGUCUUCACCAGGCUGGUAGGCAGGGAGACCUCAUUUAGUUCCUUCCAGAGCUUUUUACACUAAACAGGAGCAGGCAUAUGGGGAGACAGUUGGGGGUUAGGGUAGGGAUCAGGCACCUGAGCUCCUGGGUCAUGAUGCUGAUAUGUUAGUGAUGUUUGUGUCAUGGUUAAGUUCCAAUGGAAUAACUGGCAGGGACCACGGUGUGAAUUAACUCUAGAGUGCUAUUUUCCAGGUGUGUUCUGCUCCACCAGCAGAAUUACCUCAAGUCCUUGCUAUGAAGCAGAACUCUGGGCCUGACCUUGGGUGUAUGAAAUGAUUUUUGGAGUAGGGGUCAAUAAAGUCUGAGGAUCAGAACCAAAAAUAAGGGCUGGGGUUGUGGCUCAAUGAUAGAGCACUUGCCUGGCAUUUGUGAGGCACUGGGUUUGAUCCU